GGAGAGGUGCCAGAGUGGUCUAAUGGAACGGUCUUGAAAACCGUCGCUGGUGAAAGCCGGCCCAGGGUUCGAAUCCCUGCCUCUCCG
RNAcentral lists this transfer RNA (87 nucleotides) under bacterium. Its description in RNAcentral is "tRNA-Ser". It matches the Rfam family "tRNA". From Rfam's summary of the family: Transfer RNA (tRNA) molecules are approximately 80 nucleotides in length. Their secondary structure includes four short double-helical elements and three loops (D, anti-codon, and T loops). The record is from RNAcentral. RNAcentral also lists the same sequence under 1 other name.